This 505-nucleotide ribosomal RNA is filed under the name uncultured bacterium. RNAcentral describes it as "partial 16S ribosomal RNA". It matches the Rfam family "Bacterial small subunit ribosomal RNA", at positions 28 to 507 of the family's 1533-position model. The record is from RNAcentral.
GACGAACGCUGGCGGCGUGCCUAAUACAUGCAAGUAGAACGCACAGUUUAUACCGUAGCUUGCUACACCAUAAACUGUGAGUUGCGAACGGGUGAGUAACGCGUAGGUAACCUGCCUGGUAGCGGGGGAUAACUAUUGGAAACGAUAGCUAAUACCGCAUAAUAUUAAUUAUUGCAUGAUAAUUGAUUGAAAGAUGCAAUUGCAUCACUACCAGAUGGACCUGCGUUGUAUUAGCUAGUAGGCGAGGUAACGGCUCACCUAGGCGACGAUACAUAGCCGACCUGAGAGGGUGAUCGGCCACACUGGGACUGAGACACGGCCCAGACUCCUACGGGAGGCAGCAGUAGCGAAUCUUCGGCAAUGGACGAAAGUCUGACCGAGCAACGCCGCGUGAGUGAAGAAGGUUUUCGGAUCGUAAAGCUCUGUUGUAAGAGAAGAACGGGUGUGAGAGUGGAAAGUUCACACUGUGACGGUAUCUUACCAGAAAGGGACGGCUAACUACGUG